Molecule: long non-coding RNA, 414 nt
Organism: Prosopis cineraria
Lineage: Eukaryota; Viridiplantae; Streptophyta; Magnoliopsida; Fabales; Fabaceae
Exons: 3
Source: RefSeq, a predicted model, not a curated record
CUUCGGCAGAGAGAGCAUCUGUGAGCCAAAUUCACCGGUGCUGGGUUUUAAGAUUGUAUUACUGGUGAAGAUUGUGGUGAGAGAGAAAUUUUAAGGAAUAAUUUAUUGAAAAAGCCACAAGGAGAAGAGCCAAGAGUGACACGUGGAGGAGUCCCAGAGGCUUAGUGGUAUAGAUCCACUGUCUCUUUUGGGUAUUUAAUUUAUGAUUUAUAAUGUGUUAUAUUGCCAAUAUUAGGACUUUUUUAUGUUUAUUGUCAAUUAUAUGAAUAUAUAAAUGUAAUCAUGCCUUUCAAACUAUUUCUAUUUUUGGUACAAUUUGGAUGACUGUAAUUUUAAUAUUUGGUUUACUUUGGAUUGGUUAAAAUGGCAUGAUUAUAAGGCCAAAUAACUGGCUUGUGUUGAAAAUUGACUAAA